GAUGAAGAACGUAGCGAAAUGCGAUACUUGGUGUGAAUUGCAGAAUCCCGUGAACCAUCGAGUCUUUGAACGCAAGUUGCGCCCGAAGCCAUUAGGCCGAGGGCACGCCUGCCUGGGCGUCACACGUCGUUGCCCCCCCAUCUACUCCUUCGGGAUUGCGGGGGGCGGAUGAUGGCCUCCCGUGCGCCUCGUCGCGCGGUUGGCAUAAAUGCCAAGUCCUCGGCGACACACGCCACGACAAUCGGUGGUUGCGAAACCUCGGUUGCCCGUCGUGUGCGGUCGUCGCGCAUCGAGGGCUCGAAAAAAUUGCCGGGCUCCGGCUCGGCUUUCAACGCGACCCCAGGUCAGGCGGGGUUACCCGCUGAAUUUAAGCAUAUCAAUAAGCGGGGA
RNAcentral lists this unclassified non-coding RNA (390 nucleotides) under soil metagenome. Its description in RNAcentral is "partial contains 5.8S ribosomal RNA, internal transcribed spacer 2, and large subunit ribosomal RNA". The stretch from base 1 to 122 matches the Rfam family "5.8S ribosomal RNA", at positions 35 to 154 of the family's 154-position model. The record is from RNAcentral.